Molecule: ribosomal RNA, 1822 nt
Filed under: Salmonella enterica subsp. enterica serovar Virchow
Lineage: Bacteria; Pseudomonadati; Pseudomonadota; Gammaproteobacteria; Enterobacterales; Enterobacteriaceae
Description: partial 23S ribosomal RNA
Rfam family: Bacterial large subunit ribosomal RNA
Source: RNAcentral
CGUAUCACUUAAAGCGAUUCAGCGGGUUACGAUUGACGGAGCGAAGCGACGUCAAAGCGUAUACAAAGUCGAGUCGGUUUAAGGAUACGUUCGUUGGGUAGGGGAGCGUUCUGUAAGCCUGUGAAGGUGUGUCGUGAGGCAUGCUGGAGGUAUCAGAAGUGCGAAUGCUGACAUAAGUAACGAUAAAGCGGGUGAAAAGCCCGCUCGCCGGAAGACCAAGGGUUCCUGUCCAACGUUAAUCGGGGCAGGGUGAGUCGACCCCUAAGGCGAGGCCGAAAGGCGUAGUCGAUGGGAAACGGGUUAAUAUUCCCGUACUUGGUGUUACUGCGAAGGGGGGACGGAGAAGGCUAUGUUGGCCGGGCGACGGUUGUCCCGGUUUAAGCGUGUAGGUGUGUGUUCCAGGUAAAUCCGGUUCACUUUAACACUGAGGCGUGACGACGAGGCACUACGGUGCUGAAGCAACAAAUGCCCUGCUUCCAGGAAAAGCCUCUAAGCAUCAGGUAACAUCAAAUCGUACCCCAAACCGACACAGGUGGUCAGGUAGAGAAUACCAAGGCGCUUGAGAGAACUCGGGUGAAGGAACUAGGCAAAAUGGUGCCGUAACUUCGGGAGAAGGCACGCUGACACGUAGGUGAAGUGAUUUACUCAUGGAGCUGAAGUCAGUCGAAGAUACCAGCUGGCUGCAACUGUUUAUUAAAAACACAGCACUGUGCAAACACGAAAGUGGACGUAUACGGUGUGACGCCUGCCCGGUGCCGGAAGGUUAAUUGAUGGGGUCAGCGCAAGCGAAGCUCCUGAUCGAAGCCCCGGUAAACGGCGGCCGUAACUAUAACGGUCCUAAGGUAGCGAAAUUCCUUGUCGGGUAAGUUCCGACCUGCACGAAUGGCGUAAUGAUGGCCAGGCUGUCUCCACCCGAGACUCAGUGAAAUUGAACUCGCUGUGAAGAUGCAGUGUACCCGCGGCAAGACGGAAAGACCCCGUGAACCUUUACUAUAGCUUGACACUGAACAUUGAGCCUUGAUGUGUAGGAUAGGUGGGAGGCUUUGAAGUGUGGACGCCAGUCUGCAUGGAGCCGACCUUGAAAUACCACCCUUUAAUGUUUGAUGUUCUAACGUGGACCCGUAAUCCGGGUUGCGGACAGUGUCUGGUGGGUAGUUUGACUGGGGCGGUCUCCUCCUAAAGAGUAACGGAGGAGCACGAAGGUUGGCUAAUCCUGGUCGGACAUCAGGAGGUUAGUGCAAUGGCAUAAGCCAGCUUGACUGCGAGCGUGACGGCGCGAGCAGGUGCGAAAGCAGGUCAUAGUGAUCCGGUGGUUCUGAAUGGAAGGGCCAUCGCUCAACGGAUAAAAGGUACUCCGGGGAUAACAGGCUGAUACCGCCCAAGAGUUCAUAUCGACGGCGGUGUUUGGCACCUCGAUGUCGGCUCAUCACAUCCUGGGGCUGAAGUAGGUCCCAAGGGUAUGGCUGUUCGCCAUUUAAAGUGGUACGCGAGCUGGGUUUAGAACGUCGUGAGACAGUUCGGUCCCUAUCUGCCGUGGGCGCUGGAGAACUGAGGGGGGCUGCUCCUAGUACGAGAGGACCGGAGUGGACGCAUCACUGGUGUUCGGGUUGUCAUGCCAAUGGCACUGCCCGGUAGCUAAAUGCGGAAGAGAUAAGUGCUGAAAGCAUCUAAGCACGAAACUUGCCCCGAGAUGAGUUCUCCCUGAGACUUUAAGUCUCCUGAAGGAACGUUGAAGACGACGACGUUGAUAGGCCGGGUGUGUAAGCGCAGCGAUGCGUUGAGCUAACCGGUACUAAUGAACCGUGAGGCUUAACCUUACAAC